This 805-nucleotide ribosomal RNA is filed under the name uncultured Pelagibacterales bacterium. Its description in RNAcentral is "bacterial SSU rRNA". It matches the Rfam family "Bacterial small subunit ribosomal RNA", at positions 8 to 862 of the family's 1533-position model. Lineage: Bacteria; Pseudomonadati; Pseudomonadota; Alphaproteobacteria; Candidatus Pelagibacterales. The record is from RNAcentral.
AGAGUUUGAUCCUGGCUCAGAACGUACGCUGGCGGCACGCCUUAUACAUGCAAGUCGAACGAAGUAGCAAUACUUAGUGGCAGACGGGUGAGUAGCAUGUGGGUAUCUUCCCUUUGGUGAGGAAUAACAAGAGGAAACUUUUGCUAAUACCUCAUAAGUCUUUACGGAGAAAGCUUUAUGCGCCAAUGGAUGAGCCCGCACUUGAUUAGUUUGUUGAUGGGGUAAUGGCCUACCAAGACUUUGAUCAAUAGCUGAUUUGAGAGGAUGAUCAGCCACAUUGGGACUGAGACACGGCCCAAACUCCUACGGGAGGCAGCAGUAGGGAAUCUUGCACAAUGGAGGAAACUCUGAUGCAGCGAUGCCGCGUGAGUGAAGAAGGCCUUUGGGUUGUAAAGCUCUUUCGUCGGGGAAGAAAAUGACUGUACCCGAAUAAGAAGGUCCGGCUAACUUCGUGCCAGCAGCCGCGGUAAUACGAAGGGACCUAGCGUAGUUCGGAAUUACUGGGCUUAAAGAGUUCGUAGGUGGUUAAAAAAGUUGGUGGUGAAAUCCCAGAGCUUAACUCUGGAACUGCCAUCAAAACUUUUUAGCUAGAGUUUGAUAGAGGAAAGCAGAAUUUCUAGUGUAGAGGUGAAAUUCGUAGAUAUUAGAAAGAAUACCGAUUGCGAAGGCAGCUUUCUGGAUCAUUACUGACACUGAGGAACGAAAGCAUGGGUAGCGAAGAGGAUUAGAUACCCUCGUAGUCCAUGCCGUAACGAUGUGUGUUAGACGUUGGAAAUUUAUUUUCAGUGUCGCAGGGGGAGUACGA